Molecule: long non-coding RNA, 5166 nt
Filed under: Sus scrofa (pig)
Lineage: Eukaryota; Metazoa; Chordata; Mammalia; Artiodactyla; Suidae
Description: lncRNA (ENSSSCG00000052717.1)
Source: RNAcentral
AGUAAAAAGGGUUUGUGGACAAGGCUGCUGCCACUGCAGGGAAUAAUUCCACGGAGAGGUGGCCCCAGGAAUUACCAGCGUUCGAGGUGGCGCUCCAGCCAGGCCACCCAAAUGCCCCUUGGCCAGACACAGAGGUCGCCCACUGCGCUUUGUCCCUGGGCAUAAAACCAUUCCUUAAAUUUGCUCCGCGCGGCUCUCAGACACAAGUUGAACCUCCAUAUCUGGUUGCCACCAAAAAGCUGUAGCUGGGCCCACGGAGGACAAUUUAAAAGCUCAAGGCCAACUUUUUCCUUCAAAAGGUGCCACACACCCUGUUAAUUACAGGUGCCUCCUGGACACAGUAUCUUCGGCAGGAAUUAAAUUUGAGUUCUGGAAAGCGGACAGGGAAGAUCCUAGACAUAGGUGUGUCCUUGGAAGGAAGGACUCAGCAUUCUCAAUAUUAACAAGGGGAGAGGAGGGGAGCCAAGCUAGGUUUUAUGUCCCAGGUUGUCUGACUAAAGGACGCCAGGACACUGUGAGGGCGAUAGCACUAUCAGAUUUCUAACGAUCCCCAAAGUUGCGAGUUUAAUUCUUUCCACCACAAGAUCGCUCGUGUCUAAUGAUGUCGGACACCUGCAAAAUGACGUCGAAAUCGGUGGCUCAUCGGGUGGCAUUGUUGGUCUAACGUGCCAGGAUGCUAGCGAAGCGAGCGGGGCCGCCCUGCCGCUGCCUCCCGAGGGCGAGUUGGCGCAUCGAUUUCACCCCACGCUCUCAGCCCCGCUGCCGAACACCAUUUAGGCCAAGAUCGGGUAUAAUGGGAAACACUAUCAGCAGACAAUUACCCUUUCAGAGGAUUCACUUCUCCUCACAGACACUGUUAUUUGAGAAAUAGGAUCAUUUGAUUUCAUAUUGCACUAAAUAACACCCAGCCGGUUCAAAUUGCCAGCUUCUUAAAAACCGCCCAUUGGAAUAAAUUGCAGCGGCCUCUUUUGCUUUUCAGGGCAACAUGAUGGGCAGCGGGCAGAACUCAUAAAAACAACUACAAAGCCAGCCCUGAGCCAUCGCUAUUGGUGGGAACAGCUCUGCCACCCCGCAGGCAAAGGCAUUCGGCCGCCGGGUUCCCUGCGACCGCCCCCUUCGCCCGCCAACUUAGAGGUGGUUCAACCUCUUGGCUUUGGAGUGAAAAUAUACAGCCCUGGCCGCCCAGAGAAAGCGCUUCGGGACUCGCGGAGCGUUAGUGUCUAGCGGAGAAAGAUGAGUGGGUGCGCAAGACAUUUACGUGCCUUGCGUGGAGACCGCCGGGGGUGUGGGGCUCCGUGGCCGGGUGUGCGCCCUCCAGUUCGCGGUCUUGGCUUCCCAAGCUAGAGCUGCCACUGCCGCCGAGCUCCGCAACCCCGUGCGCCCGCCAGGCCUGCGGGCCGCAGCGCCCCUCUCUGACCUCAGCCAGGAGCCGUGGCUCAGGGGUCCGACUGGGGACAGAAAGGAGAAAGAAUCUCGCUGUGGCUUCCGCGAGGAGUCCAGAGGGAGAGGGGACAGGGAGGAGGGGGGCGAGCUCGAGUUCGCUGCACCUCCACCGCAGGUAUUUCAGAAAGAAUUAAUCUUUUUGAAGUUGGUCACAGCUGCGAUUUAACUGACACCCUGUUCAACCGGGUGACAAUUGUUCAGCUUGAUGGGGGCGACUCACCAGCCACCCUUCAUAGAAAACAAAAUCUGACUCCCUGGUUCCUGGUUCCUUUGUACCAAGGGGCAGGGUGAACGUAAGACGGCCUGGGCCAUGGCGAAGCUAUCGAAGUCUUUAUUCCAUUUGUGUUAAUGUGCUUCACCAAAGCCGAAUUAGACUCUCUCUACUCCAGGUAAAUUGAAGGCCGCAUCCGGAGACACCUGUGCACCCCGAUUCGGGGCGUGAGAUAGAAGGACCCUUUUAGUGCGUCCUGAAGACCAGGAGGAAGUUAGCCUGGGCUUUGGGGGGACGGGGGGCUGGGGGCAGGGGAUGGGGGUAGCCUUUCCCUUCCCAGGCGCUGGGAGGAGCUAGGGAGCCGGGGGUUGUGGGCCUGCCUCCAGAGGGAAGGCUUCAGGCGCCAAGGGAGUGAAAACCAAAAGCGUGGGCAACCUAAGCUGGAUGAUGGGGGACUGAGUGUGCCAGCCCACCGCACUGGGCCUUGUCCUACAAACCCUAAGCCGCUCCGCUUCUUAGCAUUUCACCAGGUCACCCAUCUACCCAGAAAGUGAAAGCGCCGCCUCAAAGGCCCAAGUGUACCCAAGCCAAACCCCGGGCCAUCUCGGGCCGCAGGUCUCCGGACCUGCCCCCCGGACCUGGGAGGAGGCCGCGAUGCGCGGCUUCCUACGCCGCCAGUUCUGGCCCCUCAUAUGCGGAUCCAGGGCAGCCCCGGUGUGCCCACCGGAGACCAGGGAGAGCCCGGGGCCUUGCUCCAUCCAGGUCUCUUCCCCAAGGUUCUCGCGUCCUCACUCCACGCGCAAUGCACUCGGCCCCAGCCCCCCAACCUCCUCCCCGAGGGGACGCAGCCAAAGAACUUUCUCUCAUCAAAAAUCACGCCCAAACGCGACAGCCUUUCAAGCAGGCAGGAACAAGGUUAUUAAAUUCGAAAGAGCCAGAAAACACAUCUUGACUGGCUCCAAUCUUCUCUGCCCGCGGGAACCGAACAGCAGAGCUACGGGUGCAACGGCCGCACCGCCGUCUUAGCGACUCUGACUUGGGCGGGAGCCCCAGAGCUGGCGGAGGCUGCUGCCGGGCGGCCUUUGCCCCUGGGCCCCCACAGAGGACUCCAGGGACGCCGUGGGUGGGCCUUUCCCUCUGCCAGCACUUAUUUCGGCUCAGAGCAGGGGCAGUGCGUCAAAGAUCCGCCUUCAGCACGGGAUGGGGAUGUCUGAGUCCGCCCUGUUCCGGCCAGGGAGCCCUGGGUGAGGGCGGUGAGAAUCAGUAGUCGCAGCUCCCGCUGGCUCCGGCCUCCGGGGUUGGCUGUGGCUGGCAGGUGACCCCGUCCUCAUCCUUCCCGCUCCACCCGGGUUCACGGCCGCAGCGCGGGCCCCAGCGCUCCCCUCCCUCGCGCGCUGUCCCUCCACGUUGCAGCGUUUACCGGCGCGUUUUGUUCCCCUCCGGAUUCCGGGCCGAGGGGCUGUAACCGUGCUCUCCUCCGACGGGCGCUAAUCAAGUAAUUUCCCCGUCCCAGCCCCAUCAAAUUGCUCUUUAGCUGUUGAACCGCGGAGUUUUGCUCGCCUUUUCACAUGCUAAUCACGCCCAUUCAGCGGCUCUCGGUGGGGCUGUUUGUCGCGGGAUAAAUCUCCUUGUUUGCCGGCUGCAUGAUUAAUUGAUAUUGUUGUCUGGCUUUUGUGGGGGCCGAGAGGAGCUGAAAGGCGGCGCGUCGUGACUACGCCGGGGGCCUCUGGCGACUUGUCGGGCUGCUGAGGUCCCGGCGAGGUCUAGCCAAGGCUGAUGACAUUAUGCGCCCGAUUUGGUUUCCUUAUUAGAAAGAUGAUGAAAGACUCUGAGACCCCAGUUUUACAACCCACCACCGGGGCGCGGAAGCCGCACAGAGCUGAAAUCACCAGCGCAGACAAAGCGCCGGCAUUUGCUCAAUUCAGAGAGGAGUGGGUGUCACUUGUCCACGCAGGAGACAAUUAAAUGCAUUUCGGCCCACCCGGGAUUUCAGUAGGAGUUGGACAUGGGCGUGCUUGUUUUUUCCAACAAAUAAUAAGUCGGCUUUUUGUUUACUUUUUGCUUUUUUGGUUGGGGGUUGUAAAAAGGGUUAAAACCCAUGGAAGAAAAGUAAAAGGAAGCCAGAGCUCCGAUGGAGACCUUGUAGGCAGCUGUCCAGGAAAGCAUCGCGAAGGCGCUUCCAAGGUUGACCUGGGUUUGCGAAGUGCGCGGGACUCAUAGCGAAUCACGCGCGGACCUGAGCGCACAGAAUCGCGAAGGCCCGCGUCCACCUGCAGGCCAGUGUUUCAUCUGCCACCGCCAGUCUCUGCUUAUGGCCGUAUUUCCCGCUGCCCGCAGGUGUGCAGUCAAACCAACAAAUUCCUGCGCCCUCCGCACCCCUCCCGCCCUUUCCCUGGAGUCCUGGGGUUUUAUCCUCGACGGGCUACCCUGAAAACUUGGAGAUUCAAUUAAAUAAUUCCAGUUACACGCUGCUCCUACUGCCGGCUUAUUGCAAAUAUUUCCUUUUUCGAGUUCUAAAAAAAAAAAAAAAAAAAAAGGAAAGAGGAGAAAAGAAACUGUCGCCUUCGCUUUCACUGCGCGCGGGGUAAUUGAUAGGCGCCAUCGGAGGUCAGAAUUUGCAUAAGAAUUAAGAGCAGUAAAUUAAUUUAAUAUUCCAUGCACAUCUCCAAUUAUUCCCGGAGACCUUUGUCUCCGCGGCUGCCAGAGAGGGGAUUCAGCUGCUCUUCAGCCAAACAACAUCUGUGCGGUUAAUAAUUUGAUAAACAGCUCAUACAAAUAGUUUCUGAAUUAUCUGGCAGCCCGAUGACUAUUCAUUGGAAACGUUUUGGCAGGGUGUCCCUGCAUUCUCUGAGGGCCUCAGGCAUCAGCACAGACAAAUGUCUUCUUAUCUUUUAAACAUCAGCAGAGGACAAUGCGCAAAAUAAGUCAUUAUCAUUAAGCAAUAACCCAGCCCCUUAAAAAUAAUAAACAAAAACAAAACAACGCCUGGGUCAUCAGGGUUGUCUAUUCUGUCUAUUAAACACUCUGAGAUGGACAGACAUUCUGGUUGGGGACUGAGUGGAGGGGAACGUUGGUGUUGGGGAGGAACUGGACAGGGUGGAGGCUGCUUUUCUUUACUAUCAUGGAUUGAAACAGCGAUUGGACUUGUGCAUGGAAAUAUCUACAAGAUGAGGGAGAGUCACGGUGGUUCCCACCUGAAGGGGAACCAGGUAGGUGGGUGGGAGGGAGACCAAGUUUUCUUUGUAUUGCUUCUUGUACCUUUCAGUGUUAUCUCUGUCUAAAUUUAUUACUCAUUGCACAAAUAAAUACCUAAGAAACAAGUUGAGUUCUUAGACAGAAGGAGAGAGUUGUUUUGACUGGACAUGGGGCCUUACCUGACUUCUCUCCAUCUUUCCUCCUGACCACACUCUGUCCUUCCUACCUUCAUCCUGGGCCAACACGACCCCAUCCUCAUAGCAGCUUCCCAUAGAGCACAAGUACGUCAGCUACAACAUUGAGUUGGCCCGGAUUUU